UGCAGUCGGACGGGAUAGAAGAAGCUUGCUUUUCUUGAGAGUGGCGCACGGGUGCGUAACACGUAUGUAACCUACCUUGUUCAGGGGGAUAGCCUCUCGAAAGAGAGAUUAAGACCGCAUAACAUUAUUGGAUGGCAUCAUUUGAUAAUCAAAUAUUUAUAGGAACAAGAUGGGCAUGCGGAACAUUAGCUAGUUGGUGAGGUAACUGCUCACCAAGGCUACGAUGUUUAGGGGAUCUGAGAGGAUGACCCCCCACACUGGUACUGAGACACGGACCAGACUCCUACGGGAGGCAGCAGUAAGGAAUAUUGGUCAAUGGGCGGAAGCCUGAACCAGCCAUGCCGCGUGCAGGAAGACGGCCCUACGGGUUGUAAACUGCUUUUGUACCGGAAUAAACCUUUGGUCGUGACCAGAGCUGAAUGUACGGUAAGAAUAAGGAUCGGCUAACUCCGUGCCAGCAGCCGCGGUAAUACGGAGGAUCCAAGCGUUAUCCGGAUUUAUUGGGUUUAAAGGGUGCGUAGGUGGCCUGUUAAGUCAGGGGUGAAAGACGGUAGCUUAACUAUCGCAGUGCCUUUGAUACUGACGGGCUUGAAUACACUAGAGGUAGGCGGAAUGUGACAAGUAGCGGUGA
RNAcentral lists this ribosomal RNA (631 nucleotides) under Mucilaginibacter pineti. Its description in RNAcentral is "bacterial SSU rRNA". It matches the Rfam family "Bacterial small subunit ribosomal RNA", at positions 56 to 684 of the family's 1533-position model. Lineage: Bacteria; Pseudomonadati; Bacteroidota; Sphingobacteriia; Sphingobacteriales; Sphingobacteriaceae. The record is from RNAcentral.